Molecule: non-coding RNA, 30 nt
Filed under: Rattus norvegicus (Norway rat)
Lineage: Eukaryota; Metazoa; Chordata; Mammalia; Rodentia; Muridae
Source: RNAcentral
UAACCGCGCUUGUUCUGUUUCCUUCUGAGC